GCAUAUGAUACAACACUCUCAGGGCCUGACGAAAGACCCAGUGAACAAUUUUUGAAAACCCUGUCCUUUCGAGGUCAUGGUA
Caenorhabditis elegans is the source of this 82-nucleotide small nuclear RNA. It matches the Rfam family "SmY spliceosomal RNA". Lineage: Eukaryota; Metazoa; Nematoda; Chromadorea; Rhabditida; Rhabditidae. The record is from Rfam.